AGCGGCGAACGGGUGAGUAACACAUCGGAACGCGUCCUGUCGUGGGGGAUAACCAGUCGAAAGACUGGCUAAUACCGCAUGAGAUCGAAAGAUGAAAGCGGGGGACCCGAGGGCAACUUCGGGCCUCGCGCGAUUGGAGCGGCCGAUGUCGGAUUAGCUAGUUGGCGGGGUAAAAGCCCACCAAGGCGACGAUCCGUAGCUGGUUUGAGAGAACGACCAGCCACACUGGGACUGAGACACGGCCCAGACUCCUACGGGAGGCAGCAGUGGGGAAUUUUGGACAAUGGGCGCAAGCCUGAUCCAGCCAUGCCGCGUGUGUGAAGAAGGCCUUCGGGUUGUAAAGCACUUUCGGCCGGAACGAAAUCGCGCGGGCUAUUACCCCGUGUGGAUGACGGUACCGGAAGAAGAAGCACCGGCUAACUACGUGCCAGCAGCCGCGGUAAUACGUAGGGUGCGAGCGUUAAUCGGAAUUACUGGGCGUAAAGGGUGCACAGGGGGGCCCCCCUGUCAGGGGUGAAAACCCCCGGCGUUACCCGGGAAUGGGGCUUUU
This 550-nucleotide ribosomal RNA is filed under the name uncultured bacterium. RNAcentral describes it as "bacterial SSU rRNA". It matches the Rfam family "Bacterial small subunit ribosomal RNA", at positions 94 to 628 of the family's 1533-position model. The record is from RNAcentral.